RNAcentral lists this unclassified non-coding RNA (24 nucleotides) under Mus musculus (house mouse). RNAcentral's name for it is "oocyte_clustered_small_RNA4953". Lineage: Eukaryota; Metazoa; Chordata; Mammalia; Rodentia; Muridae. The record is from RNAcentral.
UUCCCAACUGGAAGUCCUGCCGUC